AUUGAACGCUGGCGGCAGGCCUAACACAUGCAAGUCGAACGGUAACAGGAAGAAGCUUGCUUCUUUGCUGACGAGUGGCGGACGGGUGAGUAAUGUCUGGGAAACUGCCUGAUGGAGGGGGAUAACUACUGGAAACGGUAACUAAUACCGCAUAACGUCGCAAGACCAAAGAGGGGGACCUUCGGGCCUCUUGCCAUCGGAUGUGCCCAGAUGGGAUUAGCUAGUAGGUGGGGUAACGGCUCACCUAGGCGACGAUCCCUAGCUGGUCUGAGAGGAUGACCAGCCACACUGGAACUGAGACACGGUCCAGACUCCUACGGGAGGCAGCAGUGGGGAAUAUUGCACAAUGGGCGCAAGCCUGAUGCAGCCAUGCCGCGUGUAUGAAGAAGGCCUUCGGGUUGUAAAGUACUUUCAGCGGGGAGGAAGGGAGUAAAGUUAAUACCUUGGCUCAUUGACGUUACCCGCAGAAGAAGCACCGGCUAACUCCGUG
RNAcentral lists this ribosomal RNA (490 nucleotides) under uncultured bacterium. RNAcentral describes it as "partial 16S ribosomal RNA". It matches the Rfam family "Bacterial small subunit ribosomal RNA", at positions 30 to 507 of the family's 1533-position model. The record is from RNAcentral.